Molecule: non-coding RNA, 359 nt
Filed under: Ananas comosus (pineapple)
Lineage: Eukaryota; Viridiplantae; Streptophyta; Magnoliopsida; Poales; Bromeliaceae
Description: Eukaryotic small subunit ribosomal RNA
Rfam family: Eukaryotic small subunit ribosomal RNA
Source: Rfam by way of RNAcentral
AUUAAGCCAUGCAUGUGUAAGUAUGAACUAAUUCAGACUGUGAAACUACGAAUGGCUCAUUAAAUCAGUUAUAAUUUGUUUGAUGGUACCUGCUACUCAGAUAACCGUAGUAAUUCUAGAGCUAAUACGUACAACAAACCUUGACUUCCGGAAGGGACGCAUUUAUUAAGAUAAAAGGCCGACACGGGCUCGUCCCGCAAACCGAUGAUUCACACAAAUGGUCAACAAUUCAUUGAUUGACCAUUUGUCUUUAUGUGUGUUGUAAGAGAUCUGAAAUGAUCCAUAUUUAGAUGGCAAGGAGUUCAAAAUAAGAUGUAUCAAGAAUGAAUCAGAGAUGGUUACUUCAAGUGCAGUAAGCU